ACGGGAGGCAGCAGUGGGGAAUAUUGCACAAUGGGGGAAACCCUGAUGCAGCGACGCCGCGUGAACGAUGAAGUAUUUCGGUAUGUAAAGUUCUAUCAGCAGGGAAGAUAAUGACGGUACCUGACUAAGAAGCACCGGCUAAAUACGUGCCAGCAGCCGCGGUAAUACGUAUGGUGCAAGCGUUAUCCGGAUUUACUGGGUGUAAAGGGUGCGUAGGUGGCAUGGCAAGUCUGAAGUGAAAUGCGGGGGCUCAACCCCUGAACUGCUUAGGAAACUGUCAAGCUUGAGUACAGGAGAGGAAAGCGGAACUCCUAGUGUAGCGGUGAAAUGCGUAGAUAUUAGGAGGAACACCAGUGGCGAAGGCGGCUUUCUGGACUGUAACUGACACUGAGGCACGAAAGCGUGGGGAGCGAACAGGAUUAGAUACCCUGGUA
This 434-nucleotide ribosomal RNA is filed under the name uncultured Lachnospiraceae bacterium. RNAcentral's name for it is "partial 16S ribosomal RNA". It matches the Rfam family "Bacterial small subunit ribosomal RNA", at positions 341 to 792 of the family's 1533-position model. The record is from RNAcentral. Lineage: Bacteria; Bacillati; Bacillota; Clostridia; Lachnospirales; Lachnospiraceae.